Molecule: long non-coding RNA, 1012 nt
Organism: Numida meleagris (helmeted guineafowl)
Lineage: Eukaryota; Metazoa; Chordata; Aves; Galliformes; Numididae
Exons: 4
Source: RefSeq, a predicted model, not a curated record
UAAAGAUUGCACUCCUCUUGAGCUGUUACUGGCUAUUGGAAGGGGCGCUUUAGGAGACAAUGAUGCACGAGCCAUGGCUAACACUGAGAAAAGCUGCUGAGAAUCUAUACUGAUUGUAUGGUGAACCACUCUGCUUCCUAACUGUGCCUCCCAGUCUGUCUGUGUCAGAGGCAAGAGGAUUGCAACAUGAUAUCUGUAACAAGACAGAAGUCAAAAAUGCAGAGAGCUGUGCAGUUAAAGAGAAAUGUAAUAAGAAGAUGAGCUGAAAAUGACGACUGCUGUCUCAAUAAGCUGCAGAAGCUCCAUUAAUGUUCAGUAUUGGAACAUACUUUUUCCCCAUCUCUAAAACAUUUGUGCUUGCACUGAGUGUCACAGCACCCUGAGUGUGUGCCUGUGUCUCCAGCAGGCUCAACACUUUGGUGGUCUCUUCCAUGAGCGGAUAGUGGCUGCUUCUUGAGAAUGUUUCACUGAAAGACAAAGCACAGGAUUGCAUAAUAUAUCUUCAGCAUGUCUCUGGGCAGGUUGCUGAUAACCUGUGUUUCAGCCCGUUCCUCCUGCUGUUUGGAGCACACAUCUGCUCUGCACACUGUAACUGAGGAGCCCACUUUCUGCACGGAGAUCAAGGGAUCUGAUGAAUGGCACAGAGACAUAAUUUAUAGGGAAGUAACCUGAGAAACAGCACUGGAAUCUUUUCACCCAUAAGUAAUGUGUCUUUUCACGUGAUUUUGAAGAUCUGAGUCUUGUGGUGAAGCACGCUAUGGUGAAAUUCCUCCCUGUGUUACCUUGGUGGACUUCUCAUGGCAAAGGCAACCCAAGGUUUACAAUCUCUUUGGAUGGAAAUGCAGAACUGAAAUACAGAAUAGCAGCCCCUUUGUUGAAAAUUGCUGCUCAGGACAGGGAAGAAAAAUCCAGGGCUAAAGCAGAAGCCCUAUGGGACUUUCUGCCCUGAGCCUGUUCUUUGUCAGAGCUGACGGCAGCAGCCUGGGUGCAUGAACCGCCCAGAUCUCAUGCC